This 1473-nucleotide ribosomal RNA is filed under the name Bacillus subtilis. Its description in RNAcentral is "bacterial SSU rRNA". It matches the Rfam family "Bacterial small subunit ribosomal RNA". Lineage: Bacteria; Bacillati; Bacillota; Bacilli; Caryophanales; Bacillaceae. The record is from RNAcentral.
UCAGGACGAACGCUGGCGGCGUGCCUAAUACAUGCAAGUCGAGCGGACAGAUGGGAGCUUGCUCCCUGAUGUUAGCGGCGGACGGGUGAGUAACACGUGGGUAACCUGCCUGUAAGACUGGGAUAACUCCGGGAAACCGGGGCUAAUACCGGAUGCUUGUUUGAACCGCAUGGUUCAAACAUAAAAGGUGGCUUCGGCUACCACUUACAGAUGGACCCGCGGCGCAUUAGCUAGUUGGUGAGGUAAUGGCUCACCAAGGCAACGAUGCGUAGCCGACCUGAGAGGGUGAUCGGCCACACUGGGACUGAGACACGGCCCAGACUCCUACGGGAGGCAGCAGUAGGGAAUCUUCCGCAAUGGACGAAAGUCUGACGGAGCAACGCCGCGUGAGUGAUGAAGGUUUUCGGAUCGUAAAGCUCUGUUGUUAGGGAAGAACAAGUACCGUUCGAAUAGGGCGGUACCUUGACGGUACCUAACCAGAAAGCCACGGCUAACUACGUGCCAGCAGCCGCGGUAAUACGUAGGUGGCAAGCGUUGUCCGGAAUUAUUGGGCGUAAAGGGCUCGCAGGCGGUUUCUUAAGUCUGAUGUGAAAGCCCCCGGCUCAACCGGGGAGGGUCAUUGGAAACUGGGGAACUUGAGUGCAGAAGAGGAGAGUGGAAUUCCACGUGUAGCGGUGAAAUGCGUAGAGAUGUGGAGGAACACCAGUGGCGAAGGCGACUCUCUGGUCUGUAACUGACGCUGAGGAGCGAAAGCGUGGGGAGCGAACAGGAUUAGAUACCCUGGUAGUCCACGCCGUAAACGAUGAGUGCUAAGUGUUAGGGGGUUUCCGCCCCUUAGUGCUGCAGCUAACGCAUUAAGCACUCCGCCUGGGGAGUACGGUCGCAAGACUGAAACUCAAAGGAAUUGACGGGGGCCCGCACAAGCGGUGGAGCAUGUGGUUUAAUUCGAAGCAACGCGAAGAACCUUACCAGGUCUUGACAUCCUCUGACAAUCCUAGAGAUAGGACGUCCCCUUCGGGGGCAGAGUGACAGGUGGUGCAUGGUUGUCGUCAGCUCGUGUCGUGAGAUGUUGGGUUAAGUCCCGCAACGAGCGCAACCCUUGAUCUUAGUUGCCAGCAUUCAGUUGGGCACUCUAAGGUGACUGCCGGUGACAAACCGGAGGAAGGUGGGGAUGACGUCAAAUCAUCAUGCCCCUUAUGACCUGGGCUACACACGUGCUACAAUGGACAGAACAAAGGGCAGCGAAACCGCGAGGUUAAGCCAAUCCCACAAAUCUGUUCUCAGUUCGGAUCGCAGUCUGCAACUCGACUGCGUGAAGCUGGAAUCGCUAGUAAUCGCGGAUCAGCAUGCCGCGGUUGAAUACGUUCCCGGGCCUUGUACACACCGCCCGUCACACCACGAGAGUUUGUAACACCCGAAGUCGGUGAGGUAACCUUUUAGGAGCCAGCCGCCGAAGGUGGGACAGAUGAUUGG